This 430-nucleotide long non-coding RNA is filed under the name Phoenix dactylifera (date palm). RNAcentral describes it as "long non-coding RNA (PDAC_LNC000965)". Lineage: Eukaryota; Viridiplantae; Streptophyta; Magnoliopsida; Arecales; Arecaceae. The record is from RNAcentral.
GAGGGAGGUUCAGCAAGAUUAUUGGAAAUCUUCAACUGAAAAUACAGACAUAGAACAUUAGUGUCCAGAGGGUGUGAAUUCCAGAUCAGAGAACAUCAAAGCUUGCACUUGUUUUGUCAUUUGCCAUGACUGAUAAAGGUUAGAUUUGAAGAGAUCAAUGGAUCUUUUCAUGAUUAUUUCCUAAUGACUUUGCUUAUUGAAAAAGUCAUGGCAGUCUCUUGCCAAAUUAUCCAACGUUUUUGGUAUUUUGUUUUUUCUCCGGAGGGUCGAUGACAAUGUCAAGAAAGAUAUCUUGCCAUGAAGCUUCGAAGGUUGACGGGAUGUUUUGGGCGAAUCCAUAUAAUAUUAAAAGAUUUUGAAUAGAUUCUCCUUAUCUGCUCUAGAAAGAGCAUGAAAAGGAGAGUAUGACAAUCUAGGAUCUCACCUAAAA